This 253-nucleotide ribosomal RNA is filed under the name uncultured bacterium. Its description in RNAcentral is "partial 16S ribosomal RNA". It matches the Rfam family "Bacterial small subunit ribosomal RNA", at positions 524 to 776 of the family's 1533-position model. The record is from RNAcentral.
UACGUAGGGGGCAAGCGUUGUCCGGAUUUAUUGGGCGUAAAGAGCGUGUAGGCGGCCAGGGAGGUCUGCUGUGAAAACUCGAGGCUUAACCUCGAGCUGUCGGCGGAAACCAUCUGGCUAGAGUCCGGAAGAGGAGAAUGGAAUUCCCGGUGUAGCGGUGAAAUGCGCAGAUAUCGGGAGGAACACCAAUGGCGAAGGCAGCUCGCUGGGACGUGGCUGACGCUGAGACGCGAAAGCGUGGGGAGCAAACAGG